RNAcentral lists this unclassified non-coding RNA (621 nucleotides) under Hevea brasiliensis (rubber tree). The record is from RNAcentral. Lineage: Eukaryota; Viridiplantae; Streptophyta; Magnoliopsida; Malpighiales; Euphorbiaceae.
AUUUGCAAGAAGAGCAACAGCCUUAUCAACCAUUACAUUUGAAGGGUCCAACAACCUAAUGAGAUGCUUCACGGCUCCAACCUGAAUGAUGCGAGCUUUAUUUUCAUGAAAUAUUGACAGAUUAAAUAAUGCUGUAGCAGCGUCUUUUUUCCCUCUGAUGGUACCUAAACCAAGAAGAUCAACCAACGCUUUCACUGCUCCAGAACGCCCAAUCUUUUUUCUGUACUCUUCCAAAAGAGACAGACUGAAAAGAGCUGCAGCAGCAUUCUCUUUUGCGCCAGCAUUUCCUGUUCUCAGGACAUGGAUGAGGGGUUCAAGCGCCCCUUGCUCCGCAAUCAUGGCCUUGAUGUCUUCAUUUAUUGAUAAGUUUAGCAAUGCUGUCACAGCAUGCUCUUGAGUUGGUUUCACAUCAGAGUUUAGCAAGGAGAUAAGUGGAGCAAUAGCCCCACAGCGGCCUAUAAUAGCUCGGUUUUCCAUGUUGUGCUUUGCAAGAAAUCGGAAUUCUGCUGCAGCUGCCAUUUGCACCUCAGUUGAUUGACUUUCCAAGUCUCUAAUAAGCUUUUCAACAUGGGAACUCGUAGUCAGAUCAUCAGAUGCCGACUUUGUUGGUAAGGAAAGUUG